ACGAACGCUGGCGGCGUGCUUAACACAUGCAAGUCGAACGGAAAGGCCCUGCUUUUGUGGGGUGCUCGAGUGGCGAACGGGUGAGUAACACGUGAGUAACCUGCCCUUGACUUUGGGAUAACUUCAGGAAACUGGGGCUAAUACCGGAUAGGAGCUCCUGCUGCAUGGUGGGGGUUGGAAAGUUUCGGCGGUUGGGGAUGGACUCGCGGCUUAUCAGCUUGUUGGUGGGGUAGUGGCUUACCAAGGCUUUGACGGGUAGCCGGCCUGAGAGGGUGACCGGCCACAUUGGGACUGAGAUACGGCCCAGACUCCUACGGGAGGCAGCAGUGGGGAAUAUUGCACAAUGGGCGGAAGCCUGAUGCAGCAACGCCGCGUGGGGGAUGACGGCCUUCGGGUGGUAAACCGCUUUCGCCUGUGACGAAGCGUGAGUGACGGUAAUGGGUAAAGAAGCACCGGCGAACUACGU
Molecule: ribosomal RNA, 466 nt
Filed under: uncultured bacterium
Lineage: Bacteria
Description: partial 16S ribosomal RNA
Rfam family: Bacterial small subunit ribosomal RNA
Source: RNAcentral